GAUGAACGCUGGCGGCGUGCCUAAUACAUGCAAGUCGAGCGAACAGAUGAGGAGCUUGCUCCUCUGACGUUAGCGGCGGACGGGUGAGUAACACGUGGAUAACCUACCUAUAAGACUGGGAUAACUUCGGGAAACCGGAGCUAAUACCGGAUAAUAUAUUGAACCACAUGGUUCAAUAGUGAAAGACGGUUUUGCUGUCACUUAUAGAUGGAUCCGCGCCGCAUUAGCUAGUUGGUAAGGUAACGGCUUACCAAGGCAACGAUGCGUAGCCGACCUGAGAGGGUGAUCGGCCACACUGGAACUGAGACACGGUCCAGACUCCUACGGGAGGCAGCAGUAGGGAAUCUUCCGCAAUGGGCGAAAGCCUGACGGAGCAACGCCGCGUGAGUGAUGAAGGUCUUCGGAUCGUAAAACUCUAUUAUUAGGGAAGAACAAAUGUGUAAGUAACUAUGCACGUCUUGACGGUACCUAAUCAGAAAGCCACGGCUAACUACGUG
RNAcentral lists this ribosomal RNA (497 nucleotides) under uncultured bacterium. RNAcentral describes it as "partial 16S ribosomal RNA". It matches the Rfam family "Bacterial small subunit ribosomal RNA", at positions 28 to 507 of the family's 1533-position model. The record is from RNAcentral.